CGACGGCGAGGACGAGCGGUGGCCAUGGGCGAGGCCGGGAUCCGGUACUUCGUUGCUGAGGGCCGCCGGCGGGGGACUGGUUGAUUGCGUGGUGGUCGGGGGCGGGAUCGGCGGGCUCUGCAUCGCCGCGCGGAGCCCGUUCUUCGGGACCGCGUUCGCGGAGAGCGAGAGCGGGGCGAGGCUCGAAUCGGCGUGAGUUCUUUCUUGGGUGUUCUUCCUUUUUUUUUUUUCUGGGGAAAAGGAAGAAAAUGGAGAGGAGCACGCCGGUGAGGAAGCCUCACACUUCGACUUCAGAUCUGCUCGCGUGGUCGGAGACUCCGCCUCCCCACGAUUCGGUCGCGCCCGGUUCGGCUUCCUCUCGCUCCAAUGCUCGCUCUCACCAGCCUUCGGAUGGGAUCAGCAAGGUGGUGUUUGGAGGUCCAAGUGACUGCAGAGAAAUCUGAGAAUUUGAACAAAAGAAUAGUGCUUUUGUAAUCUUCUAGGAAGUCUUGUUCUGCCUACAAGUUGAAAGAAAUCACCGGUAGUGGGAUUUUUGCUGCCAAUGGGGAAGAUGAUUUAUUGGAGCCUGGAAGUGCCAACCCUGCUUCAAAUAACAAAACAGGAUUAAAGAUGUACCAGGUCCUCCACAAUAUUGCGGUCGCUGAAUACUUUCGUGAUGGCUGUUCAGAUCCAAGAAGAUUGCUUGAAGUACUUAAUAACGUCAAUGUGUGGCAGUCCUUCAAACACACUCUCUUCAGAAUAUGCGAUCUACUCUAAGCUAUUGAGUUUUCAAUCGGUCUUGAUAUGUUGUGUUGAACACAGUGGGAGUAGGCGAGAGGGAAACACUGAUAGUUGCUUCUAAAUUAUCAUCUAGACAUCAAUGAAGGAGGUGAAUUACUUUGAACUUUGUCAUUUGCGUGGCAAAUGUUGAUGAAUGUAUUUUAUUUAUAUAUCAUUAUAAUAUUUUGAUGUUA
Molecule: RNA transcript, 953 nt
Organism: Syzygium oleosum
Lineage: Eukaryota; Viridiplantae; Streptophyta; Magnoliopsida; Myrtales; Myrtaceae
Exons: 4
Source: RefSeq, a predicted model, not a curated record